This 253-nucleotide ribosomal RNA is filed under the name uncultured bacterium. RNAcentral describes it as "partial 16S ribosomal RNA". It matches the Rfam family "Bacterial small subunit ribosomal RNA", at positions 524 to 776 of the family's 1533-position model. The record is from RNAcentral.
UACGUAGGUGGCAAGCGUUGUUCGGAAUUAUUGGGCGUAAAGGGCGCGUAGGCGGUUUGUUAAGUCGGUCGUGAAAGCCCGGGGCUCAACCCCGGAGGGUCGACCGAUACUGGCAGACUAGAGUACAGAAGAGGUAGCUGGAAUUCCCGGUGUAGCGGUGAAAUGCGUAGAUAUCUGGAGGAACACCGGUGGCGAAGGCGGCAUUCUGGACCGAAACUGACGCUGAGGCGCGAAAGCCAGGGGAGCAAACGGG